RNAcentral lists this ribosomal RNA (702 nucleotides) under uncultured bacterium. RNAcentral describes it as "bacterial SSU rRNA". It matches the Rfam family "Bacterial small subunit ribosomal RNA", at positions 134 to 852 of the family's 1533-position model. The record is from RNAcentral.
CAGAGGGGGAUAACGUUUGGAAACGAGCGCUAAUACCGCAUGAUAUUAUCUUAUCGCAUGAUAGGAUGAUCAAAGGAGUGAUCCGCUGAAAGAUGGGCUCGCGUCCGAUUAGGUAGUUGGUGAGGUAACGGCCCACCAAGCCGACGAUCGGUAGCCGGACUGAGAGGUUGGACGGCCACAUUGGGACUGAGACACGGCCCAGACUCCUACGGGAGGCAGCAGUAAGGGAUAUUGGUCAAUGGGGGAAACCCUGAACCAGCAACGCCGCGUGAGGGAAGACGGUUUUCGGAUUGUAAACCUCUGUCCUCUGUGAGGAUGAUGACGGUAGCAGAGGAGGAAGCUCCGGCUAACUACGUGCCAGCAGCCGCGGUAAUACGUAGGGAGCGAGCGUUGUCCGGAUUUACUGGGUGUAAAGGGUGCGUAGGCGGCUAUGCAAGUCAGUAGUGAAAUCCAUGGGCUUAACCCAUGAACUGCUAUUGAAACUGCACAGCUUGAGUGAAGUAGAGGUAGGCGGAAUUCCCGGUGUAGCGGUGAAAUGCGUAGAGAUCGGGAGGAACACCAGUGGCGAAGGCGGCCUACUGGGCUUUAACUGACGCUGAGGCACGAAAGCGUGGGUAGCAAACAGGAUUAGAUACCCUGGUAGUCCACGCUGUAAACGAUGAUUACUAGGUGUGGGGGGACUGAACCCUUCCGUGCCGGAGU